CCUUAAAAAUCAGCUAGUUCCAACCUUCCUGCCAUGGGCAGGGAUACUUUUCACUGGACCAGAUUGUUCAGAGCUCCAUCCACUCU
Molecule: long non-coding RNA, 86 nt
Organism: Neopelma chrysocephalum (saffron-crested tyrant-manakin)
Lineage: Eukaryota; Metazoa; Chordata; Aves; Passeriformes; Pipridae
Exons: 3
Source: RefSeq, a predicted model, not a curated record